RNAcentral lists this transfer RNA (23 nucleotides) under Petaurus breviceps (sugar glider). RNAcentral's name for it is "partial tRNA-Ser". Lineage: Eukaryota; Metazoa; Chordata; Mammalia; Diprotodontia; Petauridae. The record is from RNAcentral.
CAGGAAGGAUCCAAGAACUGCUA